AUUGAACGCUGGCGGCAGGCUUAACACAUGCAAGUCGAACGGUAACAUAAAGAAGCUUGCUUCUUUGAUGACGAGUGGCGGACGGGUGAGUAAUGCUUGGGAAUCUAGCUUAUGGAGGGGGAUAACUACGGGAAACUGUAGCUAAUACCGCGUAAUAUCGAAAGAUUAAAGUGUGGGACCUUCGGGCCACAUGCCAUAGGAUGAGCCCAAGUGGGAUUAGGUAGUUGGUGAGGUAAAGGCUCACCAAGCCGACGAUCUCUAGCUGGUCUGAGAGGAUGACCAGCCACACUGGGACUGAGACACGGCCCAGACUCCUACGGGAGGCAGCAGUGGGGAAUUUUGGACAAUGGGCGCAAGCCUGAUCCAGCAAUGCCGCGUGAGUGAAGAAGGCCUUAGGGUUGUAAAGCUCUUUUAGUAAGGAAAUAAUGAUGGUACUUACAGAAAAAGACACCGGCUAACUCCGUGCCAGCAGCCGC
This 476-nucleotide ribosomal RNA is filed under the name uncultured bacterium. Its description in RNAcentral is "bacterial SSU rRNA". It matches the Rfam family "Bacterial small subunit ribosomal RNA", at positions 30 to 518 of the family's 1533-position model. The record is from RNAcentral.